RNAcentral lists this ribosomal RNA (775 nucleotides) under uncultured Neocallimastigales. RNAcentral's name for it is "partial large subunit ribosomal RNA". It matches the Rfam family "Eukaryotic large subunit ribosomal RNA", at positions 22 to 615 of the family's 3401-position model. Lineage: Eukaryota; Fungi; Neocallimastigomycota; Neocallimastigomycetes; Neocallimastigales. The record is from RNAcentral.
AUAUCAGUCAUGCAUAGCAUAUCAAUAAGCGGAGGAAAAGAAACUAACAAGGAUUCCCUUAGUAACGGCGAGUGAAGCGGGAAGAGCUCAAAUUUGAAAUCUUCAAGGUUUUACCUUGACGAAUUGUAGUUUAAAGAAGUGUUUUUCUGUUGAAGUUUUGGUAAAAGUUCUUUGGAAUAGGACAUCAUAGAGGGUGAGAAUCCCGUAUUUGACCAUUACUUUCAGCUUUGUGAUACACUUUCAAAGAGUCGGAUUGUUUGGGAAUGCAGUCCAAAAUGGGUGGUAAAUUUCAUCUAAAGCUAAAUAUUGGCGAGAGACCGAUAGCGAACAAGUACCGUGAGGGAAAGAUGAAAAGAACUUUGAAAAGAGAGUUAAACAGUACGUGAAAUUGUCAAAAGGGGAAGCGUUUGACACCAGUGUUGUUUUCUCGAAAAUCAAUUAAAAAGAGUUGGAUUUUGUGUUGUAUUGACUUUAUCAGCUUUCUUCACUCUUUUCCAGCUUUUUUUAAUGCACUUUUCGUUUAACAAGUCAACAUCAGUUUCUUUUGUUGUAAAAAGGUCAUUGGAAGGUGGCUUUCUCUUCGGAGAAAGUGUUUAUAGCCUUUGACUCAUGCAAUCGGAGAGACUGAGGUCUGCAGCGUAGAUCCUUCGGGGUUAGAUACAUUUGUGCUAAGUUAUAGCUUUUCAUAGACAACUUGUUGACUAUGUUUAGUCUUGUAGCUUACUCGCUUAUGCUAUUUUACCUACGCUUAGGAUGUUGAACUCUAUCACACACA